Parelaphostrongylus tenuis is the source of this 76-nucleotide non-coding RNA. The record is from the annotation of a GenBank genome assembly. NCBI's taxonomy places the organism in Eukaryota, Metazoa, Nematoda, Chromadorea, Rhabditida, Metastrongylidae.
GCAUCAGUAGUGCAACGGGUUAGAGUACACGUUCCCGGAUAGAGUGAGAUGCGGGGUUCGAAUCCCGCCUGACGCA